CCGGGUGAUCAUAGUGAAGGGGCCAUACCCGUUCCCAUUCCGAACACGGUAGUCAAGACCUUCACGCCGAUGGUAGUGGGUACAACCGCGAGAGUAGGUCGUUGCCCGGA
This 110-nucleotide ribosomal RNA is filed under the name Planctomycetota bacterium. Lineage: Bacteria; Pseudomonadati; Planctomycetota. The record is from RNAcentral.